Long non-coding RNA from Pan troglodytes (chimpanzee), 253 nucleotides. RefSeq lists it as uncharacterized. The transcript has 2 exons. NCBI's taxonomy places the organism in Eukaryota, Metazoa, Chordata, Mammalia, Primates, Hominidae. The record is from RefSeq and is a predicted model, not a curated record.
AAUUCAACCUGGCUUCUAAAACGAACAUGGUGAACAUAGAUCAACUACUGAAGUUCUUUUAACCUCUGGCAUCCUAUCUGUGAAUUGUGGGGAGGAAACAGGGUCCACCCACUGCUGCACAAGAGGGGUGUGUGCAGACCAUCACCUUGUGUCUGCUGUAGCAGGAGACCCCUGGCCAUGCGGGACUGAACCCAUGAUUGCAGCUGAUCUUACUCUGUCUCUUCUCUGUGUGAGUAAAGUGUUGUUCCAUCUA